GACCUCCUUCAGCCUCGCUCCUCUAAUCCGUCUGUCUCAACGUCCACGCGUCUGGAGAAAAACUAAUAACAGAAUUCCAGAGACUCUGCAAAAUGAUCCUGACUGGAUUUCCCGGGAAUCCCUUCUCUUCAAAGGUCACCGCACAGAAGUGAUGCAAGGAAGAAGGCACAGACGCAGUCUGUCUGAGGUGAACUUUUUCUUGGCCCUCAGUGCCGAGUAACUGAUGGAGAUAGGGAGCAGGGAGGCUUAUCUCUGAACGCUUGGUGUUGGGAUAUGUAUGAUGUCAGACCAGUUCUCGUCAUGCUUUCUAGGCUGCGUGCACAGAUAAGCUUUUUUGGAAUCUGGAGAAGGUAGAGACGUGCGCAGGUAGCAAAGACACAAUUGAAAUUGGAGCAAGAGAAAGGGGUCCGUGUCUGUUUGUCUGUCCAAGUGUGCGCGUGUGAUGUUCUUCUGCGCCGCGCUUACUUCAGCUCACCCAACUCCCCGAGCAGUGACCGGAGCAGCAGCGGAAGCUCCUCAUCCAAAGCACUUGGAAUCCGCAGACGAGGCGAGGAGGUAAAGAGAGGAUGGACGGGAAAGAAAGGGGAGCGAUGCGAUGGGGGAGAGGGGAUGGAGCGCGAAGAAGAGCCGAGGCAGAGACAGACAGGCAGACAGACAGAGCAGCCGCCGCACAGGGAACGGCACAAAACGGAAACGGAGAACUGACGAACGGAUGGAACCAAACGAAAGGAGGAGAAGUGUUGGAUUGAGGGAUGAGAGGGAAGGCGGGGCCACCCAACUCUUCUCCCUCUCCUCCUCUUCCCCCCGUGAGAAUGCAGCGUGCACGCGUGUGUGUGUGUGUGUUUUCUUCCUCCUCAGAUCUGCUGUGCUUUCAUUCACACUCAAAGACAGGACGUAAACAUACCUGGCUCAGGGGGGCGUGAAGGA
Long non-coding RNA from Solea solea (common sole), 927 nucleotides. RefSeq lists it as uncharacterized. The transcript is spliced from 3 exons. The record is from RefSeq and is a predicted model, not a curated record. Lineage: Eukaryota; Metazoa; Chordata; Actinopteri; Pleuronectiformes; Soleidae.